CCUACGGGUGGCAGCAGUAGGGAAUCUUCCACAAUGGGCGAAAGCCUGAUGGAGCAACGCCGCGUGGGUGAAGAAGGUCUUCGGAUCGUAAAACUCUGUUGUUAGAGAAGAAAGUGCGUGAGAGUAACUGUUCACGUUUCGACGGUAUCUAACCAGAACGCCACGGCUAACUACGUGCCAGCAGCCGCGGUAAUACGUAGGUGGCAAGCGUUAUCCGGAUUUAUUGGGCGUAAAGGGAACGCAGGCGGUCUUUUAAGUCUGAUGUGAAAGCCUUCGGCUUAACCGGAGUAGUGCAUUGGAAACCGGGAGACUUGAGUGCAGAAGAGGAGAGUGGAACUCCAUGUGUAGCGGUGAAAUGCGUAGAUAUAUGGAAGAACACCAGUGGCGAAAGCGGCUCUCUGGUCUGUAACUGACGCUGAGGUUCGAAAGCGUGGGUAGCAAACAGGAUUAGAUACCCCUGUAGUC
RNAcentral lists this ribosomal RNA (465 nucleotides) under uncultured bacterium. Its description in RNAcentral is "partial 16S ribosomal RNA". It matches the Rfam family "Bacterial small subunit ribosomal RNA", at positions 338 to 795 of the family's 1533-position model. The record is from RNAcentral.